RNAcentral lists this ribosomal RNA (472 nucleotides) under uncultured bacterium. RNAcentral describes it as "bacterial SSU rRNA". It matches the Rfam family "Bacterial small subunit ribosomal RNA", at positions 355 to 825 of the family's 1533-position model. The record is from RNAcentral.
UGGGGAAUUUUUCGCAAUGGGCGCAAGCCUGACGAAGCAACGCCGCGUGGAGGAUGAAGGUCUUCGGAUUGUAAACUCCUGUCGACCGGGACGAAUGCACCCGACCUAAUACGUCGAAGUGUUGGCGGUACCGGUGGAGGAAGCCACGGCUAACUCUGUGCCAGCAGCCGCGGUAAUACAGAGGUGGCAAGCGUUGUUCGGAAUUACUGGGCGUAAAGGGCGCGUAGGCGGCAUGACAAGUCACUUGUGAAAUCUCUGGGCUUAACCCAGAACGGCCAAGUGAUACUGUCGCGCUAGAGUGCAGAAGGGGCAAUCGGAAUUCUUGGUGUAGCGGUGAAAUGCGUAGAUAUCAAGAGGAACACCUGAGGUGAAGACGGGUUGCUGGGCUGACACUGACGCUGAGGCGCGAAAGCCAGGGGAGCAAACGGGAUUAGAUACCCCUGUAGUCCCUGAGCGGGCUGGCAAGGCGCAU